GACGAACGCUGGCGGCGUACUUAACACAUGCAAGUCGAACGGUAAGGCCCUUCGGGGUACACGAGUGGCGAACGGGUGAGUAACACGUGGGUGAUCUGCCCUGCACUUCGGGAUAAGCCUGGGAAACUGGGUCUAAUACCGGAUAGGACCCUGGGAUGCAUGUCCCGGGGUGGAAAGAUUUUGCGGUGUGGGAUGGGGCCGCGGCCUAUCAGCUUGUUGGUGGGGUGAUGGCCUACCAAGGCGACGACGGGUAGCCGGCCUGAGAGGGUGACCGGCCACACUGGGACUGAGAUACGGCCCAGACUCCUACGGGAGGCAGCAGUGGGGAAUAUUGCACAAUGGGCGCAAGCCUGAUGCAGCGACGCCGCGUGAGGGAUGACGGCCUUCGGGUUGUAAACCUCUUUCAGCACCGACGAAGCGCAAGUGACGGUAGGUGCAGAAGAAGGACCGGCCAACUACGUGCCAGCCGCCGCCGUAA
Molecule: ribosomal RNA, 478 nt
Filed under: uncultured bacterium
Lineage: Bacteria
Description: partial 16S ribosomal RNA
Rfam family: Bacterial small subunit ribosomal RNA
Source: RNAcentral